This is a long non-coding RNA of Myotis myotis, 1023 nucleotides long. RefSeq lists it as uncharacterized. The transcript has 3 exons. NCBI's taxonomy places the organism in Eukaryota, Metazoa, Chordata, Mammalia, Chiroptera, Vespertilionidae. The record is from RefSeq and is a predicted model, not a curated record.
GUGGCACACCAAUGACCAAGGACCCAGGACAGGGAAUCUGGACAUGGAUCUCUGCACGUUUAGCUUUCUCUGUCCCCGGAGCUGUUCCAGAAGUUGGGAGGGGUGAAGACCCCUUUGGCCUCUACAAUCUUGGGUCUAUGGCUUGAAGAGAAAUCCAUUCCUGUUCAGUGUGGAUAUGCCUUAUGACUUCCCAGACAGCAAAAAUAAGAAGACCCAGAGACUGAAGGGGCCGUGGUCUCCAGCAUCCUCUCCACCUUCCCAUUCUACCUCAGCUGAACAUGGAGGCCUCAGAAGGAAAGAGCUUCCUCAUCCCUCUGCAAAGCAGAACUGGAAAUUACUCUUUGUCAAGCAGGAAGUCACCUGUAGGCUCUUGACCACUCCUAUUUUAACCUGCUGUCAUCAAGGUUUUCCUCUCCCAUAAGUCUGGAAUGGAGUAACACUCCCAGCUCCGGGAAAAAGCUCUGAGGCUCUCAAGAAAGCCCAGGGAACAGAAAAGAGAAGUCAGGAGGGGAAAGCCCACACAGAUGGAGGUUUUCCUUGCCACCUCCCUCAGAUCACAUGGAUGAGGUAUUCCCUAUGUUCCCCAUCUCCCCGCUGGCUCCACAUUUCCAAGCAAUCCAGCCGCCCUUGCUGGGGAGCCUUCCUUGAGAGCCACCCCAGUGUCUUCUACAGGAAUCUGUCGGGAAUGCAACUAAGUGGCAGCAGCCCCUGCAAUCAAGUUCCCACUAUCGCCUUUUAAACCAGCACGCCAAGUGCAAGUCUGCCAGCCACUGGUCUGUAUUUGGGGGGGGGGGGGGGUGUCACGCAGGGGCUCCACUGGAGGAGUGUGAUGUGCCCCCAGUCUUGCCAUGCUCAGCUUCAGAGCUGUCCCUACACCACCUCCCAAUGCAGCUCAAACAGAAAGAGGGGCCACUGGUGUGACCUCAAUUCCUUGACUGGUCCCAAGGGGAGCAGCUCUCCAUCUGUGCCACCAUCCUAGUUCCUCCAAGGCCAGAAGGGAACAGCUCCCUCAGCUCACGCUGU